UGCCAGCAGCCGCGGUAAUACUGAAGGUGCAAGCGUUAAUCGGAAUCACUGGGCGUAAAGCGUGCGCAGGCGGUUGUGCAAGACCGAUGUGAAAUCCCCGAGCUUAACUUGGGAAUUGCAUUGGUGACUGCGCGGCUAGAGUGUGUCAGAGGGGGGUAGAAUUCCACGUGUAGCAGUGAAAUGCGUAGAGAUGUGGAGGAAUACCGAUGGCGAAGGCAGCCCCCUGGGAUAACACUGACGCUCAUGCACGAAAGCGUGGGGAGCAAACAGGAUUAGAUA
Molecule: ribosomal RNA, 279 nt
Filed under: uncultured bacterium
Lineage: Bacteria
Description: partial 16S ribosomal RNA
Rfam family: Bacterial small subunit ribosomal RNA
Source: RNAcentral